UACGUAGGGUGCGAGCGUUGUCCGGAAUUAUUGGGCGUAAAGGGCUCGUAGGCGGUUUGUCGCGUCGGGAGUGAAAACCUUGGGCUUAACUCAGGGCUUGCUUUCGAUACGGGCAGACUAGAGGUAUGCAGGGGAGAACGGAAUUCCUGGUGUAGCGGUGAAAUGCGCAGAUAUCAGGAGGAACACCGGUGGCGAAGGCGGCAUCCUGGACCGGUAUUGACGCUGAGGCGCGAAAGCUAGGGGAGCAAACGGG
This 253-nucleotide ribosomal RNA is filed under the name uncultured bacterium. RNAcentral describes it as "partial 16S ribosomal RNA". It matches the Rfam family "Bacterial small subunit ribosomal RNA", at positions 524 to 776 of the family's 1533-position model. The record is from RNAcentral.